AGUGAACGCUGGCGGUAGGCCUAACACAUGCAAGUCGAACGGCAGCACAGUAAGAGCUUGCUCUUACGGGUGGCGAGUGGCGGACGGGUGAGGAAUACAUCGGAAUCUACUUUUUCGUGGGGGAUAACGUAGGGAAACUUACGCUAAUACCGCAUACGACCUACGGGUGAAAGCAGGGGAUCUUCGGACCUUGCGCGAUUGAAUGAGCCGAUGUCGGAUUAGCUAGUUGGCGGGGUAAAGGCCCACCAAGGCGACGAUCCGUAGCUGGUCUGAGAGGAUGAUCAGCCACACUGGAACUGAGACACGGUCCAGACUCCUACGGGAGGCAGCAGUGGGGAAUAUUGGACAAUGGGCGCAAGCCUGAUCCAGCCAUACCGCGUGGGUGAAGAAGGCCUGCGGGUUGUAAAGCCCCUUUGUUGGGAAAGAAAAGCAGCAGGUUAAUACCCCGCUGUUCUGACGGUACCCAAAGAAUAAGCACCGGCUAACUUCGU
RNAcentral lists this ribosomal RNA (491 nucleotides) under uncultured bacterium. Its description in RNAcentral is "partial 16S ribosomal RNA". It matches the Rfam family "Bacterial small subunit ribosomal RNA", at positions 29 to 506 of the family's 1533-position model. The record is from RNAcentral.